UCCGCGGUGAAUUCACCUAUUAGGUGAUGGGAUGGUUAAUAUAUAUCCACUAUGGUGAAUAAAAUGGUUGCAUAGUUAUCACCAUCGGGGAUGACGGGGCGGGGACGGGUGCACCAUUUCCCCGUCCCCGCCCCCCGUGGUGACCCGACUGAGGACUAAUUCUAGACUUUUUAGACGUUUUGGCCCAUAGUAUUGAAGCCCAGUUAACAGGGCUAUAUAAAGUCUAACCCUAGUCAACCGGUCAACCAACAAUCCCACAUCCAAAAUUCCAAAUCCUCCGGUCCAGAUCGAGCACAGCUGUACGGAGCGCCUCUUCUCCGGGCCGCCGGCGCCAACUCCUCCGGCAGUCCGGCACUCCGGCUCUACGCUGCAGCCACACCGCCACCGCCAGCCGUUCCAGACGCGCGCGCCGCCGCUGUCCCGUCCCCUCCAUCGGGCGUCGACGCGCCGCCGGAAGCCGCCGGUGUCGCGUUGCCCGGCGCCUGCAGCCGUCAACGCGGGCGUGGCGCCAGCAGCCGUCGUCUCGCGGCCGGGAGAAGCCGUCGCCGGGAGCACGCCAUCCGUCGGGAGCCGCCAUCGCCGGGAGCACGCCAUCCGUCGGGAGCCGCCGUCGCCUGGUUUGAUAUCUAGUGUGCUGAUUUGUUGAUCCAUGACUAAUAGUUGUUAAGUGGAUUAUUUUCGAAAAAUACUGAUGUGCUGUAUUGCUCAAGUGUUGAUUUGUGUUUCUUUGCAUUUAUAUAUGUAUGGUAUGGAGUUUGGACUUUAGAGAUUAACUAGGAAAGAGGCGGGCACUUAUAUUAUUGAAAGGUAAGAUUAUUGUAUGUUCAGAAAUUUUGUCUUAUAGAUUAAGGGCAAAUUAAAGUUUGGAUGAUUCUAUUUUAUAAUAAUUUAAGGGUUCUAUUUUUCUUAAGGUAUCUUAGAAAACCAUUCACAAACUUUUGAGUAGAAGAUAUUUGAGUAGGAGAUGGAUUAAGUACUUAUGAUUUUUGAAUCAUGUUUCUUUUUUCUCGAGUAAAUAAGAAACUAUUGCUAGUUAAUUAUCAUAUAGUCCAUCUAUAUACAUACCGUGUAGUAUGGCCGCAAAUGAAAAAUGCGAGUGCAAGAUACUCAAAAUUCUUUUGAUUAAAUUGUCUCAUGAAGACGCAUGAUAUAGGAAUAAAGGGAGGGAAGCAUAUGCAUGGGAAAAAAAAGAAGGAGAAAAAAUGAAAAAAAGGGAGGGGAAGCGUACCUACCCAUGCACGUAGGUGCGUACCUAUGCCGCGGGAGGAGAGGUGGGACCUCGUAGUAUUUAGUUUGUUCUAAGAUCAAUUUAAUCUAAUGGUUUAUAAUAUUGGACCUAAUGAUUUAAGUGAAAAUCAAGAAAUAGAUACUUUGAUUUUUUUUCUUAGAAUUUCUAAUAUUUGCCCUAAUUUAUUAGAGCACCACGUCACAGCUUGAGAGCAUUUUAAUGAAUUUUAAAUGACUUAACACAUGUAAUUACAAACAAAUAGUACAAAAUCCAAAUACGACAUAACACAAAUACAUUAUAAUUAUUAUGUAAUCAACUCUCGGUUUCAACUUAAACAGAGCUAAUUAGUGUUGAGAAAAACACAACCCAUGGUGCUUAAUUAUUCUCUUUGCUACAUCACACUUUUAAUUUUCUUUUCAUGUUAUUAACAAAAUUAAUUAUCUCCAUAUAUGAUUUGAUAUGUAGCAAAGCAGUAGCUCUACAGCGGUUGUGAUCACCUUAUAUGUCUCAGACACUACACCUUGUCACACAUGCGAAAGGCAAAAGGUGCAAACGUGCAUUGUGCAGCGGGCAAAAAGAGAAUUCCGGACACUUUAUUUAUUAGCAAACAAUAGAUCCGAUGAUUAUAAUAAUAAGUCCACCAGUUUUAGUGUAAGUGUACAUUAGUUAAUAUAGAUUUUAAAUUAUUAAUUUAAUGGGUAUACAAUAUAAUGGUGUAGACCUUAUUUUGAAACAGUGCAUUACUUGAGAAUAAUAUACCAAUGUAAUAAAAAGUAGAUUCGAUGAUUUAUAUAAUGGGACCAUCAGUUUAAGUGCACGUAAAAAUUAGUUAAUAUAGAUAUUGUUUAUUUAAUAGGUACAGAAUAUAAUUGUUUAAAAUUUAUUUUAAAAUAGUUCAUUAUUUGAAAGGAAGAUUUUUUUUGUUAUAUGAUAGUAGAUUCUUUGUUUUGUAAAAUUAUGAUUUUUUAAAAAAUAUAUCCACUGUAUAUAUAAAUGAAAAAAAGAAAAGAAAAGAAAAAAAGGAAGGAAGCGUACUUAUAAUGUAUACGUACAUAUAUACUCCAUCUACCACCUGCCAACGCGCGGGAGGAGGAUAGGUGGGACCCAUGGUAUUUAGUUUGUUUUAAGAUCAAUUUUAUCUAACGGUGUAUAAUAUUGGACCCACCAAUUUAAGUGAAAAUCAAGGGGUAGAUGUUUUUCUUUUUUCUUAGAAUUUCUAGGAUUUUCUAUAUUUUAUUAGAGCGCCACUUGGCGGCUUGAGAGUGUUUGUAGGAAGUCUCAUGAACUUUUAGUAUAUAAUAGAUAGAAGAUAGAAGAUAGAUAGAUAGAUAGAUAGAUAGAUGUCGCUAAUAUUACAGUUAUUGGCAUGUAUUUUUACCCUUCUAUUAUCUCACAAGUCAACAUCUGUAAUAAUAGGGUCAUCUUGACAUAGAAUGUGUAUACCAUAUAUCACGAUCAGGAGAUAGCCUCCGACCUUAAUUAUGCCUCAAUUAUGCAGGCGAUCGAUGCAUUGGCGUUGGCGGCAGCUAGUCCACUGUUUCAACG
Molecule: long non-coding RNA, 2773 nt
Filed under: Oryza sativa (Asian cultivated rice)
Lineage: Eukaryota; Viridiplantae; Streptophyta; Magnoliopsida; Poales; Poaceae
Description: long non-coding RNA (OSAT_LNC001855)
Source: RNAcentral